RNAcentral lists this ribosomal RNA (480 nucleotides) under uncultured bacterium. RNAcentral's name for it is "partial 16S ribosomal RNA". It matches the Rfam family "Bacterial small subunit ribosomal RNA", at positions 28 to 523 of the family's 1533-position model. The record is from RNAcentral.
GACGAACGCUGGCGGCGUGCUUAACACAUGCAAGUCGAACGAUGAAGUUCCUUCGGGAAUGGAUUAGUGGCGAACGGGUGAGGAACACGUGAGAAACCUGCCUUUCAUUUUGGGAUAACUCCGGGAAACCGGGGCUAAAACCGAAUACUCCGUCUCGGCGGCAUCGCUGAGCCGGGAAAAAAUUUUGAUGAAAGAUGGUCUCGCGGCCUAUCAGCUAGUUGGUGAGGUAAUGGCUCACCAAGGCAACGACGGGUAGCCGGCCUGAGAGGGCGGCCGGCCGCGCUGGGACUGGGACACGGCCAAGACUCCUACGGGAGGCAGCAGUGUGGAAUAUUGGGCAAUGGGCGCAAGCCUGACCCAGCGACGCCGCGUGAGGGAUGAAGGCCUUCGGGUUGUAAACCUCUUUCAGUAGGGAAGAAGCGAAAGUGACGGUACCUAAAGAAGAAGCACCGGCUAACUAUGUGCCAGCCGCCGCCGUAA